UAAUGACAGCACUGCAUGGGAAAGUUACAGUCUGGUGAUUCUCUACUAUAAACCCAUGUCUUUUUCAACAUCAUUGCUGCUCAGAGCACAAAACCUCUCCCGAGGAACGUGGCCAACAUACUUUCUUCAUAGAGACCAAUCUCUUAGGAGCCCAUCAAAAUCUUCACAGCUUAUCAUA
Molecule: long non-coding RNA, 178 nt
Organism: Nothoprocta perdicaria
Lineage: Eukaryota; Metazoa; Chordata; Aves; Tinamiformes; Tinamidae
Exons: 2
Source: RefSeq, a predicted model, not a curated record